This 1507-nucleotide long non-coding RNA is filed under the name Bemisia tabaci. RNAcentral describes it as "lncRNA ENSSSA2NGG004733". The record is from RNAcentral. Lineage: Eukaryota; Metazoa; Arthropoda; Insecta; Hemiptera; Aleyrodidae.
GGGAGGUACUUACUUAAUGUCCUUGAAGAGAGAAUUGGGAGUGGAAGAGAAUUAGGAAUUUUUGUAUCACCGAUGACGUUCCUGACUACGGCGAAAUUUUAAAAUUAUUCUCAGUGUUUUUGAAGUUUUACUGUACUUAGCCAAGUAAUUAGUGCGUUCUUUAUUUCGUUUGUUUCGCGACGUGCCGGAGUUCGCUUGCAAGAUACGGGACUUCUCUGCUGACGUCCCCAGUAUUAUCAAACCGCUUUCUGAUCGUUCUACUUAGCAUUGGCUCUAGUUUCCUCACUGCACUUUUAGUGUUUAUUUCGAGUUUUUUCGAAUCUGAACAUUGAUAGUUUCUUAAUUCCGCUCAUUCGCAACGGUAGAUGGAUCGCAUCGCCCGUCAUGAAUUUUUGUAACAUUGAAUUUAGUCUGAUCUCUACUCUUGAGAAACCGUCUGAGUGACACUCCCCUCAAAGUUUCUGUGUGUUUAUUUGCGAGAUCUAAGAUUCUGCCCAGUUUAUUUUAGUGCCGUCUGAAUUUUUACAUCAUGGAUUUUCGUCAUAGCGUUACUGCAACACUUACCGUGAUUAAUGAGAUAUGUUGAAUUUUGUGAGAGAAAAGAAAUGCCUGGCGCAGUCGGAACAGACUUUCUUAGUCAUGCCCUUACGUCAUCAGUAAAGCUGGAGAGUUGUAAAGGACAAAAUCCAGACAUGCCUCAGUACAUGGGUCACCCAGAAAUAGCGCAGUCUAGCUCUUACUCAGUUGACGUCUCUUAUCACCCAGCAAAUGGGCAUCCAGGCAGUCACUCGCCUAAUUCUUCUCUGCAAAGCGAGGAAAAUCCAACACUAGUUUCAAGAACGCAGAAACAGCAAACAACUCAACAAAUAACAACUGUAACCAAAGUCAUUCGGGAAGUUCAUCACAUGGGUCCUGAUGGUGAAGCACCUCCUGUUGACUAUGUCGCAUUUGCUGCCCCUCCAGGCUCUACCCAAGAGCACAUGUUGCCCCAGAACUCAGGUCGGCAUUAUGGGGAACAGUAUGGACCAACAUACCAUGAUUACGAUCACUUUCCUCCGCAAGGAAAUCUGUCUGUAAGUGGCCUAUACUCCAGUUCAGUAGGAUGUUAUCAGCCGUAUGGUAACACCCCAAAUUAUGCUGAACAGCCUCCAACUCCGCCGAGUCCAAGCGAACGCAGCGAAUCUCCUCCACCUGCACAUGCUUAUCUUGACAAAGGUGUCCCAUAUUUGCCGUCCGGUUACGACGAACUGGACGCGACGCAUAUGCUACAGCGACCGGAGCAUUUUAGAAUAACGCCGUCGCCAGGAGAUGUAAGCGACCGCUAUGGUGAGUGUUUUUUUCAAUUUUUGUGGGAUUUUCCAGCGUUUUCACAGCAUGAAUAAUACAUAGCUCUUUACCAGAGCAACACAGGGUUAUGUUCUCACUGUACUUUUCACAAAGAUUGUUAGUCGUAAUGUAAAUCACUGUAACCUAUUGAUAGGGUGAAAAGUUUUUGAAAACUUUGGAA